CCUCGCUCCGGAACUGAGUUUUCCUAUAUCUUAAGACCGACUCAGACUGACCCUAGUCCAAAUAAUUAUGACGUGUGGCAAGGCUAUUUUAUUUUUUUUCAGGGACGCCUUCCUACGGAAAAAAAAUAAAAUAGCCUUGCCAGACAUCAUAAUUAUUUGGACUAGACUGACCCAUGUUCAACUGCUGUUCACAUGGAACCCUUCUCCCCUUCUGUUCCCAAAGUCUUUGUUUGAAUAUUUGCUACUAACACCAAGAUCUGCACCCGUGGAUGCCCAAGACCUAAACGCAC
RNAcentral lists this long non-coding RNA (290 nucleotides) under Mytilus galloprovincialis (Mediterranean mussel). Lineage: Eukaryota; Metazoa; Mollusca; Bivalvia; Mytilida; Mytilidae. The record is from RNAcentral.